CCAACAGCUUCUGAAUCUACCCGCAGAGAGACUGACUGCUCUGUUAUUUUCCCAGCAUCUAUGAAGAGACUCUGACUGUCUAAAAUGAAGGAUUCUCUAGCUUUAGGGGAAGUCAGAGCCACAAGAUGGAAGGAGCUUGGAUCUCCGAACUGUUCCAUGGAGAAAAGCUGCAGUCAGUGAAGAGCACCUGCAGUGGACUCUGAACCUGGGGGUGACGACAACCACUGAAAUAUGCUGCACCUUAGUCCAGGGGUUUUUAAAGUGUGGUUCCUGAAAGAGCUGUCUCAGAGUCGUCCGUGUUGAUGGUGUAACAUAAAGAUUUUCGGGCCUCAAGACUGAAGUAGGACAAGGAAUUUGAAUUUUUAAGUAGCUCACCUGACUUGUCUGUCCUCUAAUAUCUGAGAACACCUGACUUCUGCUCUUUCAGUAAAGGCAACAAUGGUUUUA
This is a long non-coding RNA of Mandrillus leucophaeus (drill), 447 nucleotides long. RefSeq lists it as uncharacterized. The transcript has 3 exons. The record is from RefSeq and is a predicted model, not a curated record. Lineage: Eukaryota; Metazoa; Chordata; Mammalia; Primates; Cercopithecidae.